UACGGAGGAUCCGAGCGUUAUCCGGAUUUAUUGGGUUUAAAGGGUGCGCAGGCGGGAGAUUAAGUCGGCGGUGAAAUUUUGCAGCUCAACUGUAAAAGUGCCUUCGAUACUGGUUUCCUUGAGUGUGGAUGAAGUAGGCGGAAUUUGUGGUGUAGCGGUGAAAUGCUUAGAUAUCACGAGGAACUCCGAUUGCGCAGGCAGCUUACUAAACCAUAACUGACGCUCAGGCACGAAGGCGUGGGGAUCAAACAGGAUUAGAUACCCCUGUA
RNAcentral lists this ribosomal RNA (269 nucleotides) under uncultured prokaryote. RNAcentral describes it as "partial 16S ribosomal RNA". It matches the Rfam family "Bacterial small subunit ribosomal RNA", at positions 524 to 792 of the family's 1533-position model. The record is from RNAcentral.